GACGAACGCUGGCGGCGUGCUUAACACAUGCAAGUCGAACGGAAAGGCCCUGCUUUUGUGGGGUGCUCGAGUGGCGAACGGGUGAGUAACACGUGAGUAACCUGCCCUUGACUUUGGGAUAACUUCAGGAAACUGGGGCUAAUACCGGAUAGGAGCUCCUGCUGCAUGGUGGGGGUUGGAAAGUUUCGGCGGUUGGGGAUGGACUCGCGGCUUAUCAGCUUGUUGGGGGGGUAGUGGCUUACCAAGGCUUUGACGGGUAGCCGGCCUGAGAGGGUGACCGGCCACAUUGGGACUGCGAUACGGACCAGACUCCUACGUGAGGCAGCAGUGGGGAAUAUUGCACAAUGGGCGGAAGCCUGAUGCAGCAACGCCGCGUGCGGGAUGACGGCCUUCGGGUUGUAAACCGCUUUCGCCUGUGACGAAGCGUGAGUGACGGUAAUGGGUAAAGAAGCACCGGCUAACUACGUG
This 468-nucleotide ribosomal RNA is filed under the name uncultured bacterium. Its description in RNAcentral is "partial 16S ribosomal RNA". It matches the Rfam family "Bacterial small subunit ribosomal RNA", at positions 28 to 507 of the family's 1533-position model. The record is from RNAcentral.